CGCUGAAACACUGGCUCCCGUACGAUUACUGAAGUUAAACAAUGUCGAGCCUGGUAAGUACCUAGACACGUAACCGCUUGGGAAUAUCAAAUGCUGUAAG
Acanthosepion pharaonis is the source of this 100-nucleotide non-coding RNA. The record is from the annotation of a GenBank genome assembly. Lineage: Eukaryota; Metazoa; Mollusca; Cephalopoda; Sepiida; Sepiidae.